CCUACGGGGGGCAGCAGUGGGGAAUAUUGCACAAUGGGCGAAAGCCUGAUGCAGCAACGCCGCGUGAGCGAUGAAGGCCUUCGGGUCGUAAAGCUCUGUCCUCAAGGAAGAUAAUGACGGUACUUGAGGAGGAAGCCCCGGCUAACUACGUGCCAGCAGCCGCGGUAAUACGUAGGGGGCUAGCGUUAUCCGGAAUUACUGGGCGUAAAGGGUGCGUAGGUGGUUUCUUAAGUCAGAGGUGAAAGGCUACGGCUCAACCGUAGUAAGCCUUUGAAACUGAGAAACUUGAGUGCAGGAGAGGAGAGUAGAAUUCCUAGUGUAGCGGUGAAAUGCGUAGAUAUUAGGAGGAAUACCAGUUGCGAAGGCGGCUCUCUGGACUGUAACUGACACUGAGGCACGAAAGCGUGGGGAGCAAACAGGAUUAGAUACCCGGGUAGUC
Molecule: ribosomal RNA, 439 nt
Filed under: uncultured bacterium
Lineage: Bacteria
Also listed under: 1 other name
Description: bacterial SSU rRNA
Rfam family: Bacterial small subunit ribosomal RNA
Source: RNAcentral